AUGGAUCUGGGCGUGGCGGGGCUCCGGGCGGCCGUGACCCUGCUGGAGUCCGGGGGGGACCUCCAGCCCCCCGGGGGGUCCCUGCGCCUCCACUGCCGAACAUCCGGGUUCGAUUUUGGGGGUUUUGCCAUUGAAUGGGUGCGCCAGAGACCCGGGCAGGGGCUGGAGUUCGUCGCAGGGAUCAGCAGAAGAAGUGGCAACACUUUCUACGCGGAUUCGGUGCAGGGCCGGGUCACGAUGACGAGUGACAACGGGCAGAGCUCGGUGACGCUGACCAUGAACAACCUCAAGGACGAGGAUUCCGGAUCCUAUUUCUGUGCCAAACAAGCUGGUAAUAGUUGUUGUGGUGCUGGUGCUCAUCUUGACUGA
This is a non-coding RNA of Passer domesticus (house sparrow), 369 nucleotides long. Lineage: Eukaryota; Metazoa; Chordata; Aves; Passeriformes; Passeridae. The record is from the annotation of a RefSeq genome assembly.